AAGUCGUAACAAGGUCUCCGUUGGUGAACCAGCGGAGGGAUCAUUACCGAGUUUACAAACUCCCAAACCCUUUGUGAACCUUACCUAUAGUUGCUUCGGCGGACCGCCCCGAAGGCCUCCCUCGCGGUGGUCCCGGAACCAGGCGCCCGCCGAAGGCCCCAAACUCUUUGUUUUCUAUGGUUUUCUCCUCUGAGUGGAAAUAAACAAAUAAAUAAAAACUUUUAACAACGGAUCUCUUGGUUCUG
This 245-nucleotide unclassified non-coding RNA is filed under the name Myrothecium inundatum. RNAcentral describes it as "partial internal transcribed spacer region". The stretch from base 1 to 46 matches the Rfam family "Eukaryotic small subunit ribosomal RNA", at positions 1786 to 1831 of the family's 1831-position model. The record is from RNAcentral. Lineage: Eukaryota; Fungi; Ascomycota; Sordariomycetes; Hypocreales; Stachybotryaceae.